UAGUAGCGGCGAGCGAGCGGGAAGAAGCUCAAAUUUAUAAUCUGGCACCUUCGGUGUCCGAGUUGUAAUCUCUAGAAGUGUUUUCCGCGUUGGACCGCACACAAGUCUGUUGGAAUACAGCGGCAUAGUGGUGAAACCCCCGUAUAUGGUGCGGACGCCCAGCGCUUUGUGAUACACUUUCAAUGAGUCGAGUUGUUUGGGAAUGCAGCUCAAAUUGGGUGGUAAAUUCCAUCUAAAGCUAAAUAUUGGCGAGAGACCGAUAGCGAACAAGUACCGUGAGGGAAAGAUGAAAAGCACUUUGGAAAGAGAGUUAACAGUACGUGAAAUUGUUGGAAGGGAAACGCUUGAAGUCAGACUUGCUUGCCGGAGCUUGCUUCGGUUUGCAGGCCAGCAUCAGUUUUCCGGGGUGGAUAAUGACGGUUUGAAGGUAGCAGUCUCGGCUGUGUUAUAGCUUUCCGUUGGAUACAUCCUGGGGGACUGAGGAACGCAGCGUGCUUUUUGCGAAAGACUCGUCUUUUUCACGCUUAGGAUGCUGGUGGAAUGGCUUUAAACGACCCGUCUUGA
This 564-nucleotide ribosomal RNA is filed under the name Rhodotorula glutinis. RNAcentral's name for it is "eukaryotic LSU rRNA". It matches the Rfam family "Eukaryotic large subunit ribosomal RNA", at positions 81 to 657 of the family's 3401-position model. The record is from RNAcentral. Lineage: Eukaryota; Fungi; Basidiomycota; Microbotryomycetes; Sporidiobolales; Sporidiobolaceae.